AAAUUGAAGAGUUUGAUCAUGGCUCAGAUUGAACGCUGGCGGCAGGCCUAACACAUGCAAGUCGAACGGUAACAGGAAGCAGCUUGCUGCUUCGCUGACGAGUGGCGGACGGGUGAGUAAUGUCUGGGAAACUGCCUGAUGGAGGGGGAUAACUACUGGAAACGGUGGCUAAUACCGCAUAACGUCGCAAGUAAUACCGCAUAACGUCGCAAG
RNAcentral lists this ribosomal RNA (213 nucleotides) under Salmonella enterica. Its description in RNAcentral is "partial 16S ribosomal RNA". It matches the Rfam family "Bacterial small subunit ribosomal RNA", at positions 1 to 206 of the family's 1533-position model. The record is from RNAcentral. Lineage: Bacteria; Pseudomonadati; Pseudomonadota; Gammaproteobacteria; Enterobacterales; Enterobacteriaceae.